GGGGAUUUAGCUCAGCGGCAUAAGCGCCUGCCUUGUAAGCAGGCAAUCACCAGUUCGAUCCCUGGUACCA
This 70-nucleotide transfer RNA is filed under the name Cavia porcellus (domestic guinea pig). It matches the Rfam family "tRNA". From Rfam's summary of the family: Transfer RNA (tRNA) molecules are approximately 80 nucleotides in length. Their secondary structure includes four short double-helical elements and three loops (D, anti-codon, and T loops). Lineage: Eukaryota; Metazoa; Chordata; Mammalia; Rodentia; Caviidae. The record is from Rfam by way of RNAcentral.